CAGCCGCCGCGGGAAUACGAAGGGGGCUAGCGUUGCUCGGAAUUACUGGGCGUAAAGGGAGCGUAGGCGGACAUUUAAGUCAGGGGUGAAAUCCCAGAGCUCAACUCUGGAACUGCCUUUGAUACUGGGUGUCUUGAGUGUGAUAGAGGUAUGUGGAACUCCGAGUGUAGAGGUGAAAUUCGUAGAUAUUCGGAAGAACACCAGUGGCGAAGGCGACAUACUGGAUCAUUACUGACGCUGAGGCUCGAAAGCGUGGGGAGCAAACAGGAUUAGAUACCCCCGUAGUCCCUGUCUCUUAUAC
RNAcentral lists this ribosomal RNA (301 nucleotides) under uncultured bacterium. RNAcentral describes it as "partial 16S ribosomal RNA". It matches the Rfam family "Bacterial small subunit ribosomal RNA", at positions 509 to 807 of the family's 1533-position model. The record is from RNAcentral.